GAAAUGCGAUAAGUAAUGCGAAUUGCAGAAUUUCCGUGAGUCAUCGAAUCUUUGAACGCACAUUGCACCCAUUGGUAUUCCGAUGGGCAUGCCUGUCCGAGCGUCAUUACGCACCCUCAAGCCCGGCUUGUGUGAUGGGCCCUGGCGUCUCGUUCGCGAGACGGGCCCGAAAGGCAGCGGCGGCGUCGACCCGAUGAGCCCGAGCGUAUGGGGACUUUUGUCACACGUUUGCGGUGCGGACCGGCGCCUGCUUGACUUUUCUGAUUAUCCAGGUUGACCUCGGAUCAGGUAGGGAUACCCGCUGAACUUAAGC
RNAcentral lists this unclassified non-coding RNA (313 nucleotides) under plant metagenome. RNAcentral describes it as "partial contains 5.8S ribosomal RNA, internal transcribed spacer 2, and large subunit ribosomal RNA". The stretch from base 1 to 106 matches the Rfam family "5.8S ribosomal RNA", at positions 50 to 154 of the family's 154-position model. The record is from RNAcentral.